UUGAAAUGUGGACUUGUGUUUUGAAUUUAGUUAAGUGUGGUCACUUGAGAAGUGAAUUAGUGACUUCAAAAUGUUUAAGUGUAGGUACGUUUUUUCAUUUUGAAUUAGGUUUAGUUUGGUAACGUGUGAAGUGAAUUAGUUACUUGAAAAUAUUUAGGUGUAGGUAUUUGAAAUGUGAACUUUUGUGACUUGAACUAAUCACUUGAAUGUAAUUGAUUGUGUAGAUGGAAUCUGAUUAUAGCUGGAUAUAUCAACGAAAUAUCGAUAAUUGAAUGGAUGAGGCUGAGAAUGAAGAUGCGGAUGAUGAGUUGUAGUUUUUAGUAUUUUGUAUGUUUUAUAGUUUGGAUUUGGAACCUCGAUAAAUUUUGUAAAUAAUGUUUGUAUUCUUAUGGUGGUUUGUUGAUUACAUAUAUAUGAUUGGUGGGAUGUAUUGUAGAUAAUAAUCAAUGUUUGUAAAUGAUUGGUGGG
This 468-nucleotide long non-coding RNA is filed under the name Capsicum annuum. RNAcentral describes it as "long non-coding RNA (CANN_LNC010425)". Lineage: Eukaryota; Viridiplantae; Streptophyta; Magnoliopsida; Solanales; Solanaceae. The record is from RNAcentral.